Molecule: ribosomal RNA, 257 nt
Filed under: uncultured bacterium
Lineage: Bacteria
Description: partial 16S ribosomal RNA
Rfam family: Bacterial small subunit ribosomal RNA
Source: RNAcentral
GACAGAAAGUGCAGGCGUUAUUCGGAUUGACUGGGCGUUAAGGGUAUGUAGGCGGCUCAUUGAAACUAGGUUGGAAAGGCUCAGGAAGCAGCUGAGACGACUUCCUAAAGAUUAUGGAGCUAGAGUUUGUUACGGAGUAGAGAGAAUUGUCGAAGUAAUGGAGUUAAAUCCUCCGAUCUUGCUAGGAAGACCUAUGGUGGAAACACUUUUCUCAAACAAACUGACGCUGAGGUACGAAAGGAUGGGGAUCAAAGCGG